Molecule: ribosomal RNA, 254 nt
Filed under: uncultured Gigaspora
Lineage: Eukaryota; Fungi; Glomeromycota; Glomeromycetes; Diversisporales; Gigasporaceae
Description: partial 18S ribosomal RNA
Rfam family: Eukaryotic small subunit ribosomal RNA
Source: RNAcentral
AAGCUCGUAGUUGAAUUUCGGGGUUCUACCGUUGGUCGGGCAAUAGUCUGUACUGGCGUGUAGAAUUUCUACCUUCUGGGGAACCAUCAUGUUAUUUAUUUAGCGUGGUGGGAAACCAGGACCUUUACCUUGAAAAAAUUAGAGUGUUCAAAGCAGGCUUACGUCUGAAUACAUUAGCAUGGAAUAAUAAAAUAGGUCGGUGGUCCUGUUUUGUUGGUUUCUGAAUCACCGUAAUGAUUAAAGGGAUAGUUGGG